AUUGAACGCUGGCGGCAGGCCUAACACAUGCAAGUCGAUCGGUAACAGGCAGAAGCUUGCUUCUUUGCUGCCGAGUGGCGGGCGGGUGAGUCAUGUCUGGGAAACUGCCUGAUGGAGGGGGAUAACUACUGGAAACGGUAGCUAAUACCGCAUAACGUCGCAAGACCAAAGAGGGGGACCUUCGGGCCUCUUGCCAUCGGAUGUGCCCAGAUGGGAUUAGCUUGUAGGUGGGGUAACGACUCCACUAGGUGACGAUCUCUAGCUGGUCUGAGAGAAUGACCGGCCACACGGGAACGGAGACACGGACCAGGCUCCUACGGGAGGCAGCAGUGGGGAAUAUUGCACAGUGGGCGCAAGCCUGAUGCAGCCAGGCCGCGCGUAUGAAGAAGGCCUUCGGGUUGUAAAGUACUUUCAGCGGGGAGGAAGGGAGUAAAGUUAAUACCUUGGCUCAUUGACGGUACCCGCAGAAGAAGCACCGGCUAACUCCGUG
This 490-nucleotide ribosomal RNA is filed under the name uncultured bacterium. RNAcentral's name for it is "partial 16S ribosomal RNA". It matches the Rfam family "Bacterial small subunit ribosomal RNA", at positions 30 to 507 of the family's 1533-position model. The record is from RNAcentral.